Molecule: ribosomal RNA, 1405 nt
Filed under: Klebsiella aerogenes
Lineage: Bacteria; Pseudomonadati; Pseudomonadota; Gammaproteobacteria; Enterobacterales; Enterobacteriaceae
Description: bacterial SSU rRNA
Rfam family: Bacterial small subunit ribosomal RNA
Source: RNAcentral
GCAGUCGAGCGGUAGCACAGAGAGCUUGCUCUCGGGUGACGAGCGGCGGACGGGUGAGUAAUGUCUGGGAAACUGCCUGAUGGAGGGGGAUAACUACUGGAAACGGUAGCUAAUACCGCAUAACGUCGCAAGACCAAAGUGGGGGACCUUCGGGCCUCAUGCCAUCAGAUGUGCCCAGAUGGGAUUAGCUAGUAGGUGGGGUAAUGGCUCACCUAGGCGACGAUCCCUAGCUGGUCUGAGAGGAUGACCAGCCACACUGGAACUGAGACACGGUCCAGACUCCUACGGGAGGCAGCAGUGGGGAAUAUUGCACAAUGGGCGCAAGCCUGAUGCAGCCAUGCCGCGUGUAUGAAGAAGGCCUUCGGGUUGUAAAGUACUUUCAGCGAGGAGGAAGGCCAUUAAGGUUAAUAACCUUGGUGAUUGACGUUACUCGCAGAAGAAGCACCGGCUAACUCCGUGCCAGCAGCCGCGGUAAUACGGAGGGUGCAAGCGUUAAUCGGAAUUACUGGGCGUAAAGCGCACGCAGGCGGUCUGUCAAGUCGGAUGUGAAAUCCCCGGGCUCAACCUGGGAACUGCAUUCGAAACUGGCAGGCUAGAGUCUUGUAGAGGGGGGUAGAAUUCCAGGUGUAGCGGUGAAAUGCGUAGAGAUCUGGAGGAAUACCGGUGGCGAAGGCGGCCCCCUGGACAAAGACUGACGCUCAGGUGCGAAAGCGUGGGGAGCAAACAGGAUUAGAUACCCUGGUAGUCCACGCCGUAAACGAUGUCGACUUGGAGGUUGUGCCCUUGAGGCGUGGCUUCCGGAGCUAACGCGUUAAGUCGACCGCCUGGGGAGUACGGCCGCAAGGUUAAAACUCAAAUGAAUUGACGGGGGCCCGCACAAGCGGUGGAGCAUGUGGUUUAAUUCGAUGCAACGCGAAGAACCUUACCUACUCUUGACAUCCAGAGAACUUAGCAGAGAUGCUUUGGUGCCUUCGGGAACUCUGAGACAGGUGCUGCAUGGCUGUCGUCAGCUCGUGUUGUGAAAUGUUGGGUUAAGUCCCGCAACGAGCGCAACCCUUAUCCUUUGUUGCCAGCGGUCCGGCCGGGAACUCAAAGGAGACUGCCAGUGAUAAACUGGAGGAAGGUGGGGAUGACGUCAAGUCAUCAUGGCCCUUACGAGUAGGGCUACACACGUGCUACAAUGGCAUAUACAAAGAGAAGCGACCUCGCGAGAGCAAGCGGACCUCAUAAAGUAUGUCGUAGUCCGGAUUGGAGUCUGCAACUCGACUCCAUGAAGUCGGAAUCGCUAGUAAUCGUAGAUCAGAAUGCUACGGUGAAUACGUUCCCGGGCCUUGUACACACCGCCCGUCACACCAUGGGAGUGGGUUGCAAAAGAAGUAGGUAGCUUAACCUUCGGGAGGGCGCU